GAUGAACGCUAGCUACAGGCUUAACACAUGCAAGUCGAGGGGAAACGACAUCGAAAGCUUGCUUUUGAUGGGCGUCGACCGGCGCACGGGUGAGUAACGCGUAUCCAACCUGCCCAUCACUUGGGGAUAACCUUGCGAAAGUAAGACUAAUACCCAAUGAUAUCUCUAGAAGACAUCUGAAAGAGAUUAAAGAUUUAUCGGUGAUGGAUGGGGAUGCGUCUGAUUAGCUUGUUGGCGGGGUAACGGCCCACCAAGGCAACGAUCAGUAGGGGUUCUGAGAGGAAGGUCCACCACAUUGGAACUGAGACACGGUCCAAAAUCCUACGGGAGGCAGCAGUGAGGAAUAUUGGUCAAUGGGCGAGAGCCUGAACCAGCCAAGUAGCGUGCAGGAAGACGGCCCUAUGGGUUGUAAACUGCUUUUAUAAGGGAAUAAAGUGAGAGUCGUGACUCUUUUUGUAUGUACCUUAUGAAUAAGGACCGGCUAAUUCCGUG
RNAcentral lists this ribosomal RNA (492 nucleotides) under uncultured bacterium. Its description in RNAcentral is "partial 16S ribosomal RNA". It matches the Rfam family "Bacterial small subunit ribosomal RNA", at positions 28 to 507 of the family's 1533-position model. The record is from RNAcentral.